This 253-nucleotide ribosomal RNA is filed under the name uncultured bacterium. RNAcentral's name for it is "partial 16S ribosomal RNA". It matches the Rfam family "Bacterial small subunit ribosomal RNA", at positions 524 to 776 of the family's 1533-position model. The record is from RNAcentral.
UACGUAGGUGGCAAGCGUUGUCCGGAUUUACUGGGCGUAAAGAGCGCGCAGGCGGCUGGUCAAGUCCGAUGUGAAAGCUUCCGGCUUAACUGGAAAAUUGCAUUGGAAACUGCUCGGCUUGAAGGUGGGAGAGGGUAGCGGAAUUCCCGGUGUAGUGGUGAAAUGCGUAGAUAUCGGGAGGAACACCAGUGGCGAAGGCGGCUACCUGGCCCAUUCUUGACGCUGAGGCGCGAAAGCUAGGGGAGCAAACGGG